AUGGCAUCCUCCUCUGUUGUGGUCGCGGCUGCUCUGAUCCUCUGCAUCCUCGUCGCCCAUGCCCAUGGCUGCUACGCCAAGCACCACACGGCUCCUUCUGCGACCAACUCCAGCUGGCUUGAUGCCAAGGCGACAUGGUACGGCGCGCCCCAUGGUACCGGGCCUGAUGACAAUGGCGGCGCGUGCGGGUUCAAGAACGUCAACUUACCACCCUUCUCCUCUAUGACCUCCUGCGGCAACCAGCCGCUCUUCAAGGACGGCAAGGGCUGCGGCUCCUGCUAUCAGUCCAAGAACAACAAUUGCUCUUUGUUGUGGCAUUGCUGGAGAAAUACAAGUGUAUAUACCCGUUUCCCACUGUCCAGUCGAGGAGAUCCCUGA
RNAcentral lists this ribosomal RNA (378 nucleotides) under Triticum aestivum (bread wheat). RNAcentral describes it as "partial small subunit ribosomal RNA". Lineage: Eukaryota; Viridiplantae; Streptophyta; Magnoliopsida; Poales; Poaceae. The record is from RNAcentral.